GGACCUGACUGCUAUCGGAUUGAUACUAAGCCAUGCGAGUCAUUGUAGUAAUACAAGGCAGACGGCUCAGUAACGCGUAGUCAACCUAACCUAUGGACGGGAAUAACCUCGGGAAACUGAGUAUAAUGCCCGAUAGAACAUUAUGCCUGGAAUGGUUUAUGUUCCAAAUGAUUUAUCGCCGUAGGAUGGGACUGCGGCCUAUCAGUUUGUUGGUGAGGUAAUGGCCCACCAAGACUAUUACAGGUACGGGCUCUGAGAGGAGUAGCCCGGAGAUGGGUACUGAGACACGGACCCAGGCCCUAUGGGGCGCAGCAGGCGAGAAAACUUUGCAAUGUGCGAAAGCACGACAAGGUUAAUCCGAGCGGUUUCUGCUAAAGGAACCUUUUGACAGUCCUAGAAACACUGUUGAAUAAGGGGUGGGCAAGUUCUGGUGU
This 434-nucleotide ribosomal RNA is filed under the name uncultured archaeon. RNAcentral's name for it is "bacterial SSU rRNA". It matches the Rfam family "Archaeal small subunit ribosomal RNA", at positions 19 to 458 of the family's 1478-position model. The record is from RNAcentral.